Long non-coding RNA from Nasonia vitripennis (jewel wasp), 1232 nucleotides. RefSeq lists it as uncharacterized. The transcript has 3 exons. The record is from RefSeq and is a predicted model, not a curated record. Lineage: Eukaryota; Metazoa; Arthropoda; Insecta; Hymenoptera; Pteromalidae.
AACAGCAGCGGCGGCGGCGGUGACAGGACAGCGACACAAAGAGAGAGAGAGAGAGAGAGAGAGAGAGAGAGAGAGAGAGAGAGAGAGAGAGAGAGACAGACAGUUAACUGGCGCCUGUCCCUCAUGCAUUAAACAUCCGUCGGUGCAGCAGCAGCAGCAGCAGACACUCUCUACACGUAGCCUCCUUUUUCCAGCCGUGUGAUUUGGCGAGAUAUCCAGCUCUGGUAUAGUAUAGACUGGAGUCGAAUGCCGUAGUUUCGCCGAGAGAGAUGGAUCCCUUUGAAGUUCGCGACUCUAUCAGCGCUUCCGACUGCACGAUUGCUGCUGGUAAUUCAACGACUGCUACACACGCGAUGUGUACGAAGCUUUGAAGAAGACGCCGGGGCUGUUGGAUACCCGUCUUUGUCUAUUGUUCACUUGGAAAAUACGAAAGCUUUAUUGGCGCGCACAUACGUAUACGAGAGUGCGAGCCUACGGACUGAUCGAUAAUAUCCGUGGGGGUAUGUGUGUACAGAUGAACGAGUGAGUUCAGCUUUAUCGAAAGCUAAUGCAGAGGACUGAAGCUCGAUUGUUAGAUAAUGUAUUAGGUGUGCGUGCGAUAGUAAGGCUUGGAUCCUCCUCUUGUAAAAAAAGUGAUGGGCUUUGUUGUGAAGCAUUUAAUUGAAGUCUAGUCGCCUGGUACAAGAAUUUAGAAACGCGAAUUUUUAUACAUAACCUACAAACGCUUCAAACUGUCAGUGCUCAGUAGGCAACAAAAUUAAAAAUUAUUCUGCAAAAAUAUAAUUGAUAAUACGAUAAGGAGUGCGCGAAGCACACCAAGAUUUCCUAGUCAAGGAAGUACGCGCUGGACGAUAAGUCGGGACAAAAUAGCCGUUGUCGUCGUUCAGCCCGCGAGGAGGAUAAAGAGCGAAGGCCGCUUUCUUGCUUGAUAUCAACAGGGAGAGGAAGUAUACAUAGCAGCAACUUCAGCCAUAAACGAUUGAUCGAAUACAGUAGCUUGUGGACAUUGCAAAUGGACGAGUCUCUUAUUCUUGGACACUAUUCUUCAGCCUAUGUGGGAAUUGAAUAUCACAUCGUUGAAUAAUUACUAACGCGUUCACGGAAGACCUAUACUGAUCAGCAUAGGGUGAUGGUGCUGAAACCGAGUGUUUAUCUUGUUUUGUGCAUCGAUUCACUGAUGAAGUGGAUGCCAAGUGUAUAGGAGAUAAAAUAAAGACUAUAGAGACUAGAGA